This 1372-nucleotide ribosomal RNA is filed under the name uncultured bacterium. RNAcentral's name for it is "bacterial SSU rRNA". It matches the Rfam family "Bacterial small subunit ribosomal RNA", at positions 28 to 1381 of the family's 1533-position model. The record is from RNAcentral.
GAUGAACGCUGGCGGCGUGCCUAAUACAUGCAAGUCGAGCGAACGGACGAGAAGCUUGCUUCUCUGAUGUUAGCGGCGGACGGGUGAGUAACACGUGGAUAACCUACCUAUAAGACUGGGAUAACUUCGGGAAACCGGAGCUAAUACCGGAUAAUAUUUUGAACCGCAUGGUUCAAAAGUGAAAGACGGUCUUGCUGUCACUUAUAGAUGGAUCCGCGCUGCAUUAGCUAGUUGGUAAGGUAACGGCUUACCAAGGCAACGAUGCAUAGCCGACCUGAGAGGGUGAUCGGCCACACUGGAACUGAGACACGGUCCAGACUCCUACGGGAGGCAGCAGUAGGGAAUCUUCCGCAAUGGGCGAAAGCCUGACGGAGCAACGCCGCGUGAGUGAUGAAGGUCUUCGGAUCGUAAAACUCUGUUAUUAGGGAAGAACAUAUGUGUAAGUAACUGUGCACAUCUUGACGGUACCUAAUCAGAAAGCCACGGCUAACUACGUGCCAGCAGCCGCGGUAAUACGUAGGUGGCAAGCGUUAUCCGGAAUUAUUGGGCGUAAAGCGCGCGUAGGCGGUUUUUUAAGUCUGAUGUGAAAGCCCACGGCUCAACCGUGGAGGGUCAUUGGAAACUGGAAAACUUGAGUGCAGAAGAGGAAAGUGGAAUUCCAUGUGUAGCGGUGAAAUGCGCAGAGAUAUGGAGGAACACCAGUGGCGAAGGCGACUUUCUGGUCUGUAACUGACGCUGAUGUGCGAAAGCGUGGGGAUCAAACAGGAUUAGAUACCCUGGUAGUCCACGCCGUAAACGAUGAGUGCUAAGUGUUAGGGGGUUUCCGCCCCUUAGUGCUGCAGCUAACGCAUUAAGCACUCCGCCUGGGGAGUACGACCGCAAGGUUGAAACUCAAAGGAAUUGACGGGGACCCGCACAAGCGGUGGAGCAUGUGGUUUAAUUCGAAGCAACGCGAAGAACCUUACCAAAUCUUGACAUCCUUUGACAACUCUAGAGAUAGAGCUUUCCCCUUCGGGGGACAAAGUGACAGGUGGUGCAUGGUUGUCGUCAGCUCGUGUCGUGAGAUGUUGGGUUAAGUCCCGCAACGAGCGCAACCCUUAAGCUUAGUUGCCAUCAUUAAGUUGGGCACUCUAAGUUGACCGCCGGUGACAAACCGGAGGAAGGUGGGGAUGACGUCAAAUCAUCAUGCCCCUUAUGAUUUGGGCUACACACGUGCUACAAUGGACAAUACAAAGGGCAGCGAAACCGCGAGGUCAAGCAAAUCCCAUAAAGUUGUUCUCAGUUCGGAUUGUAGUCUGCAACUCGACUACAUGAAGCUGGAAUCGCUAGUAAUCGUAGAUCAGCAUGCUACGGUGAAUACGUUCCCGGGUCU